RNAcentral lists this small RNA (520 nucleotides) under uncultured Glomus. RNAcentral describes it as "SSU rRNA". It matches the Rfam family "Eukaryotic small subunit ribosomal RNA", at positions 569 to 1090 of the family's 1831-position model. Lineage: Eukaryota; Fungi; Glomeromycota; Glomeromycetes; Glomerales; Glomeraceae. The record is from RNAcentral.
AGCAGCCGCGGUAAUUCCAGCUCCAAUAGCGUAUAUUAAAGUUGUUGCAGUUAAAAAGCUCGUAGUUGAAUUUCGGGAUCAAUAUAUCGGUCGUGCCUUCGGUACGUACUGGUAUCAUUGGUUUCUCCUUUCUGACGAACCAUGAUGUCAUUAAUUUGGUGUUAUGGGGAGUUAGGACUGUUACUUUGAAAAAAUUAGAGUGUUUAAAGCAGGCUUUAGCUUGAAUACAUUAGCAUGGAAUAAUGAAAUAGGACGUUCGAACCUAUUUUGUUGGUUUCUAGGAUCAACGUAAUGAUUAAUAGGGAUAGUUGGGGGCAUUAGUAUUCAAUUGUCAGAGGUGAAAUUCUUGGAUUUAUUGAAGACUAACUACUGCGAAAGCAUUUGCCAAGGAUGUUUUCAUUAAUCAAGAACGAAAGUUAGGGGAUCGAAGACGAUCAGAUACCGUCGUAGUCUUAACCAUAAACUAUGCCGACUAGGGAUCGGAUGAUGUUAAUUUUUUAAUGACUCAUUCGGCGCCUUA